UCAGGCAUACGCCCUGACCGGGAAUCGAACCACAACCUCCUGAUUGAUGCUCAACCACUAAGCUAUGAGGGCUGCAUUUAUUUCUUAAUAACUUCACUGAAACAACAGCAUCCAUGGAGCAGAGUUGGAGGGACUGAAGCAUUGGAUGGCUAUGAAGUAAUUUGAGAUUGAAGGAGAUACUGCUGAAGGAAUUACACACAGAAAGUGAGAGGUAGAGUUUGCUUGAUUUGGAAAAUAAGUAUUAAAUUUAUUUAUUUAUUUAUUUUUGAAAAUGAGUAUUUUAAAUAGUCUGCUUCAGUCCAGUGUGGAUGGCUAGUAUAAUUAGAUAGGAGUCAAGUUCAGAACAAACACUGACAAAGGACAUAUAAUUUCAUAGUAGGAAGAUUAAGGUCAAUAAUAAUAGUGAACAUUUAUUGAUUUAAAAAUAUAUGUUAGGGAAAUUCACAAAUAAUCUGCAAUAACUUGAAAUGCAUACCCUUUGGAACACUUCCUUUUCUCAUGUAUAAAUUAAAAUGUUUGCUGCCUUUUGCAAAAUGUCA
Long non-coding RNA from Myotis myotis, 539 nucleotides. RefSeq lists it as uncharacterized. The record is from RefSeq and is a predicted model, not a curated record. Lineage: Eukaryota; Metazoa; Chordata; Mammalia; Chiroptera; Vespertilionidae. The transcript is spliced from 2 exons.